CUACGGGUUGCACCAGUCGAGAAUCUUCCGCAAUGGACGAAGUCUGACGGAGCGACGCCGCGUGCGGGAUGAAGGCCUUCGGGUUGUAAACCGCUGUCAGUGGGGAGGAAAUGCAUCAGGGUUCUCCCUGGUGCUUGACCGAUCCGCAGAGGAAGCGCAGGCUAAGUUCGUGCCAGCAGCCGCGGUAACACGAACUGCGCGAACGUUAUUCGGAAUCACUGGGCUUAAAGAGUUCGUAGGCGGCCUUUCAAGUCGGGUGUGAAAUCCCUCGGCUCAACCGAGGAAUUGCGCCUGAUACUGUGGGGCUUGAGGGGGAUAGGGGUGAGCGGAACUGAUGGUGGAGCGGUGAAAUGCGUUGAUAUCAUCAGGAACACCGGUGGCGAAGGCGGCUCACUGGAUCUCUUCUGACGCUGAGGAACGAAAGCUAGGGGAGCGAACGGGAUUAGAUACCCCAGUAGUC
Molecule: ribosomal RNA, 460 nt
Filed under: uncultured bacterium
Lineage: Bacteria
Description: partial 16S ribosomal RNA
Rfam family: Bacterial small subunit ribosomal RNA
Source: RNAcentral